UAGCUCCUCAUCUUUGUGUCCACGCCAAUUAGGGCCAAAACCCCUAAUUUGGAAACCACACAAAAAUCAUAUAGAAAUGUUGAGAGAGAAGCUGCAAGUUUUGAUUUCUCUCUUCUUGGUCUCUUGGGCUUCCAUCUCGUUGAUUUGCUUGCUAGGUUGGGUUUGUUGAUCACUUCUUCUCGUCCACACAUCAUUGUAGGGUAUAUCCAAAGGUUGGAUCUUGCACUUCUUAUUAGGGGCAAGGGACGAGCGGGCUUCAGAAUAAGAAAUUCCUUCUAAUAGCAGAUCGACGAAUAAAGAUGUGCAUACCACUGCAGUGGGCAUGUUAUGAUGAUAAACCGGACGCGGGAUGCCCCGGACGUGGGAUGCCCCGGACGCUGGAUGAUGAUAUGACGAUGAUACGAUGAAGAUGCUAUUGUAUGUAUAUAAUUGCAUAUGUUUUCGAACUCAUGCAUUGCAUAUUGUACGUUCUUAGAUGGAUCGGCUUACUUCUAUCAUGUUCAUACUUAUGUAUUACUUAUGAUAUUGUUUCCUGCCUUACAUACUUAGUGCUUUUAUCCGUACUGAAGUCCUAUCCUACGGAACGCUGCAUUUCGUGCUACAUGUCCUGAUAGAUUCACUGAGGGGCAGCCACAGUAGGACGUCCAGCUUCAGCGGGUGUCCGCAAGUGCCAUUACUCCGGACUUGCUAUAUUCGAUUUACUUAUGUGGUCAUGAUAUAUGUGCAUAUGCUAUGGGUACGUCGGGGCCCUGUCUCGACCUUUACGCUUUUGUAUGUACACUCUUAGAGGCUCAUAGAGGCUCAUAGACAUAGUGAAAUAUGUACAUAUUACGUUUUUCCUUGUUGGCUAUGGUAUGAUUUGAUACUCUUUUGAUA
Long non-coding RNA from Lycium barbarum (goji berry), 876 nucleotides. RefSeq lists it as uncharacterized. NCBI's taxonomy places the organism in Eukaryota, Viridiplantae, Streptophyta, Magnoliopsida, Solanales, Solanaceae. The transcript is spliced from 3 exons. The record is from RefSeq and is a predicted model, not a curated record.